Molecule: small nucleolar RNA, 131 nt
Filed under: Leptobrachium leishanense (Leishan spiny toad)
Lineage: Eukaryota; Metazoa; Chordata; Amphibia; Anura; Megophryidae
Description: Small nucleolar RNA SNORA29 (ENSLLEG00000006131.1)
Rfam family: Small nucleolar RNA SNORA29
About the family: ACA29 is a member of the H/ACA class of snoRNA that guide the sites of modification of uridines to pseudouridines.
Source: Rfam by way of RNAcentral
AUUCCCAUUCUAGUACCACUACUUCAUUCUACAGAUUUAGUGGCUAUGCUAAUGGGAUAUAGUAACCUGCCAUUGUCUGAAGGGAAAUUACAUUUCAUGUUUUCCUAUAUGAAAUGGCAGUACAUAAAUAU